CCAAUAAGCAAACCAAGGUUGUGGGUUCUAUGUUUGUUCAUAAGGAGGAAUCAUACUCAGGAACUUAAGAAGUCCAGGAAGUAGAGGUCUUACUUGGAUCAACAUUUUGUCGUGCACUCGGACGUUAGCAUGUCUUGGCACGACCUAUUCCAAUAAAACAGAAGGAUCUAAUACGUUACUACAUAUUCAGUUCAAAGGUGUUGCUUUGAUUCAGAGAGGUUAACUUCAAGUUAACUUUAGUUAAGAAAGACGUCGACUCGGUCAGUGUCGUAGCCACUAGGUUGAUGACAUUACUUAUUUGUCAGAUUCAAGUUCUACUUUACCUAGAUUAGAAUGGCCAGCACCAAUAUAUAUAGGAAGAUAGAUCAGUACUAGUAAUCUAGUUACAUAAAUUUCAACAUCUUAGAUUUUUCCUGUUUCUAUAAUAUAAAGCACAGGUGACAAUUGCUAGGACCUAGGACCUGUAGAUCUCUGCGCCAGUUAAGUAUAUCAGACAAAACCAUCACCACUGGUAGAAAAGGUAACGAAUGAUAGCCUGAACUAGGACCACAGAUAGCUGCUAUGCGUAACAGCAUUUUUGGUAUCUUAAA
This is a long non-coding RNA of Panicum virgatum (switchgrass), 590 nucleotides long. RefSeq lists it as uncharacterized. NCBI's taxonomy places the organism in Eukaryota, Viridiplantae, Streptophyta, Magnoliopsida, Poales, Poaceae. The record is from RefSeq and is a predicted model, not a curated record. The transcript is spliced from 2 exons.